This 71-nucleotide transfer RNA is filed under the name Cynoglossus trigrammus. Its description in RNAcentral is "tRNA-Tyr". It matches the Rfam family "tRNA". From Rfam's summary of the family: Transfer RNA (tRNA) molecules are approximately 80 nucleotides in length. Their secondary structure includes four short double-helical elements and three loops (D, anti-codon, and T loops). The record is from RNAcentral. Lineage: Eukaryota; Metazoa; Chordata; Actinopteri; Pleuronectiformes; Cynoglossidae.
GGCAGAGUGGCUGAGUGUCUAAGCACUGGAUUGUAGCUCCAUUGAUAGAGGUUUAAUUCCUCUCUCUGUCA